RNAcentral lists this ribosomal RNA (444 nucleotides) under uncultured bacterium. Its description in RNAcentral is "bacterial SSU rRNA". It matches the Rfam family "Bacterial small subunit ribosomal RNA", at positions 465 to 907 of the family's 1533-position model. The record is from RNAcentral.
AGGAGUGACGGUACCGAGAGAAGAAGCCCCGGCUAACUCCGUGCCAGCAGCCGCGGUAAUACGGGGGGGGCAAGCGUUGUUCGGAAUUACUGGGCGUAAAGGGCUCGUAGGUGGCCAACUAAGUCAGACGUGAAAUCCCUCGGCUUAACCGGGGAACUGCAUCUGAUACUGGAUGGCUUGAGUUCGGGAGAGGGAUGCGGAAUUCCAGGUGUAGCGGUGAAAUGCGUAGAUAUCUGGAGGAACACCGGUGGCGAAGGCGGCAUCCUGGACCGACACUGACGCUGAGGAGCGAAAGCCAGGGGAGCAAACGGGAUUAGAUNCCCCGGUAGUCCUGGCCCUAAACGAUGAAUGCUUGGUGUGGCGGGUAUCGAUCCCUGCCGUGCCGAAGCUAACGCGAUAAGCAUUCCGCCUGGGGAGUACGGUCGCAAGGCUGAAACUCAAAGG